This 624-nucleotide ribosomal RNA is filed under the name uncultured fungus. Its description in RNAcentral is "eukaryotic LSU rRNA". It matches the Rfam family "Eukaryotic large subunit ribosomal RNA", at positions 40 to 647 of the family's 3401-position model. Lineage: Eukaryota; Fungi. The record is from RNAcentral.
AUAUCAAUAAGCGGAGGAAAAGAAACCAACAGGGAUUGCCUUAGUAACGGCGAGUGAAGCGGCAACAGCUCAAAUUUGAAAUCUGCCUCUAGGCCGAGUUGUAAUUUGUAGAAGAUGCUUCGGGUGUGGCACCGGUCUAAGUUCCUUGGAACAGGACGUCAUAGAGGGUGAGAAUCCCGUACGUGACUGGCCGCCUUCGCCCGUGUGAAGCUCUUUCGACGAGUCGAGUUGUUUGGGAAUGCAGCUCAAAAUGGGUGGUAUAUUUCAUCUAAAGCUAAAUAUUGGCCAGAGACCGAUAGCGCACAAGUAGAGUGAUCGAAAGAUGAAAAGCACUUUGGAAAGAGAGUUAAACAGUACGUGAAAUUGUUGAAAGGGAAACGCUUGGAGUCAGUCGCGUCGGCCGAGACUCAGCCUCGCCCUCGGCUUGGUGUACUUCUCGGCUGACGGGCCAGCAUCAAUUUUGCCCCUCGGAUAAUGGCAGGGGAAAGGUGGCACCUUUGCGGGUGUGUUAUAGUCUCCCGUCGCAUGCGAGGGGUGGGAUUGAGGAACUCAGCACGCGCCUCUCGGCUCGGGGCUUCGGCCCACGUUACGUGCUUAGGAUGUUGGCGUAAUGGCUCUAAACGA